CCUACGGGAGGCAGCAGUGGGGAAUAUUGCACAAUGGGCGAAAGCCUGAUGCAGCGACGCCGCGUGCGGGAUGGAGGCCUUAGGGUUGUAAACCGCUUUUGUUCAAGGGCAAGACACGGUCUUUGGCCGUGUAGAGAGGAUUGUUCGAAUAAGCACCGGCUACCUACGUGCCAGCAGCCGCGGCAAUACGGAGGGUGCAAGCGUUAUCCGGAUGUAUUGGGGGUAAAGGGCUCGUAGGCGGUUCGGCGCGACCGGUGUGAAAGUCCUUCGCUUAACGGCGGAACCGCGCCGGGUACGGGCGGGCUUGAGUGCGGGAGAGGUAUGUGGAAUGCGCGGUGUAGCGGUGGAAUGUGUAGAUAUCGGGAAGAAUACCAAUGGCGAAGGCAGGUCUCUGGGCCGUUACUGACGCUGAGGAGCGAAAGCGUGGGGAGCGAACAGGAUUAGAUACCCUUGUAGUC
This 458-nucleotide ribosomal RNA is filed under the name uncultured bacterium. Its description in RNAcentral is "partial 16S ribosomal RNA". It matches the Rfam family "Bacterial small subunit ribosomal RNA", at positions 338 to 795 of the family's 1533-position model. The record is from RNAcentral.